This 324-nucleotide ribosomal RNA is filed under the name uncultured bacterium. RNAcentral's name for it is "partial 16S ribosomal RNA". The record is from RNAcentral.
CUGAUCAGCCAUUCCGCGUGAGUGAUGAAGGCCUUAGGGUUGUAAAGCUCUUUUAGUCCGAGGAAGAUAAUGGACGGUACCGGAAUGAAUANAGCCCCGGUCUAAUCUUCAGUGACCAGACAUGCCGUCAGGUACAUAGCGAACGGGGGGACUCGACGUCUGCCUCGUGAGAUACGACUGGGGGGCUGUAAAUGCGGCAUCGGUAAGGGCAGGGGCGUAUUUAACNGUACCGAGAAGAGUAGACACAUCGCCCAUGCGGGCGUACACAACCNCCUUGUGUAGAACUUCGGCUCUUUUNCUGAACUGAGCGUGGUGCAUACGAUA